CCUAGGGGUGAAAGGCCAAUCAAACUCGGAGAUAGCUGGUUCUCCUCGAAAGCUAUUUAGGUAGCGCCUCGGACGUAUCCUCUUGGGGGUAGAGCACUGCAUGGAUGAUGGGGGCCCACAGCCUUACUGAGUCUAAGCAAACUCCGAAUACCAGGAAGGACUAUCCGGGAGACACACGGCGGGUGCUAACGUCCGUCGUGGAGAGGGAAACAACCCUGACCAACAGCUAAGGCCCCCAAUUCGUGGCUAAGUGGGAAAGCAUGUGAGACUUCCAAAACAACCAGGAGGUUGGCUUAGAAGCAGCCAUCCUUUAAAGAUAGCGUAACAGCUCACUGGUCUAAUCAAGAGGUCUUGCGGCGAAGAUGUAACGGGGCUCAAGCCACGAGCCGAAGCUUUGGGUGCACCUUCGGGUGCG
Molecule: ribosomal RNA, 415 nt
Filed under: Glutamicibacter soli
Lineage: Bacteria; Bacillati; Actinomycetota; Actinomycetes; Micrococcales; Micrococcaceae
Description: partial 23S ribosomal RNA
Rfam family: Bacterial large subunit ribosomal RNA
Source: RNAcentral